CCGAUCACUCCUCUCUGAU
RNAcentral lists this small nuclear RNA (19 nucleotides) under Arabidopsis thaliana (thale cress). Its description in RNAcentral is "snRNA_00925". Lineage: Eukaryota; Viridiplantae; Streptophyta; Magnoliopsida; Brassicales; Brassicaceae. The record is from RNAcentral.